GUUUGGUUAAGUUAGAAAGGGCGCACGGUGGAUGCCUUGACACUAGGAGUCGAUGAAGGACGGGACUAACGCCGAUAUGCUUCGGGGAGCUGUAAGUAAGCUUUGAUCCGAAGAUUUCCGAAUGGGGAAACCCACCAUACGUAAUGGUAUGGUAUCCUUAUCUGAAUACAUAGGGUAAGGAAGACAGACCCAGGGAACUGAAACAUCUAAGUACCUGGAGGAAGAGAAAGCAAAUGCGAUUUCCUGAGUAGCGGCGAGCGAAACGGAACAUAGCCCAAACCAAGAGGCUUGCCUCUUGGGGUUGUAGGACAUUCUAUACGGAGUUACAAAGGAACGAGGUAGACGAAGCGACCUGGAAAGGUCCGUCGUAGAGGGUAACAACCCCGUAGUCGAAACUUCGUUCUCUCUUGAAUGUAUCCUGAGUACGGCGGAACACGUGAAAUUCCGUCGGAAUCUGGGAGGACCAUCUCCCAAGGCUAAAUACUCCCUAGUGAUCGAUAGUGAACCAGUACCGUGAGGGAAAGGUGAAAAGCACCCCGGAAGGGGAGUGAAAGAGAUCCUGAAACCGUGUGCCUACAAAUAGUCAGAGCCCGUUAACGGGUGAUGGCGUGCCUUUUGUAGAAUGAACCGGCGAGUUACGAUCCCGUGCGAGGUUAAGCUGAAGAGGCGGAGCCGCAGCGAAAGCGAGUCUGAAUAGGGCGUUUAGUACGUGGUCGUAGACCCGAAACCAGGUGAUCUACCCAUGUCCAGGGUGAAGUUCAGGUAACACUGAAUGGAGGCCCGAACCCACGCACGUUGAAAAGUGCGGGGAUGAGGUGUGGGUAGCGGAGAAAUUCCAAUCGAACCUGGAGAUAGCUGGUUCUCCCCGAAAUAGCUUUAGGGCUAGCCUUAAGUGUAAGAGUCUUGGAGGUAGAGCACUGAUUGGACUAGGGGUCCUCAUCGGAUUACCGAAUUCAGUCAAACUCCGAAUGCCAAUGACUUAUCCUUAGGAGUCAGACUGCGAGUGAUAAGAUCCGUAGUCAAAAGGGAAACAGCCCAGACCGCCAGCUAAGGUCCCAAAGUGUGUAUUAAGUGGAAAAGGAUGUGGAGUUGCUUAGACAACUAGGAUGUUGGCUUAGAAGCAGCCACCAUUUAAAGAGUGCGUAAUAGCUCACUAGUCGAGUGACUCUGCGCCGAAAAUGUACCGGGGCUAAAUACACCACCGAAGCUGCGGAUUGAUACC
RNAcentral lists this ribosomal RNA (1222 nucleotides) under Bacillus cereus. Its description in RNAcentral is "bacterial LSU rRNA". It matches the Rfam family "Bacterial large subunit ribosomal RNA", at positions 1 to 1214 of the family's 2925-position model. The record is from RNAcentral. Lineage: Bacteria; Bacillati; Bacillota; Bacilli; Caryophanales; Bacillaceae. RNAcentral also lists the same sequence under 5 other names.